Oncorhynchus mykiss (rainbow trout) is the source of this 2885-nucleotide non-coding RNA. The record is from RefSeq and is a predicted model, not a curated record. Lineage: Eukaryota; Metazoa; Chordata; Actinopteri; Salmoniformes; Salmonidae.
UGACUUGUGUCAUGCACAAAGUAGAUGUCCUAACCGACUUGCCAAAACUAUAGUUGUUGAAAAAAACGAGUUUUAAUGACUCCAACCUAAGUGUAUGUAAACUUCCGACUUCAACUGUAUAUUUUGGGAAACUAUAGAAUCAUCAAAGUGAUAUGUGUAAAUUAGUUAUAUUUAUGUAUUUUAGUAUAAUAACAGAAAUCUGAGAUAAAAUAUCUACAGACUCACGUAUUUAGUACAUAGUUAAGAACACAUGUGAUAUUAAUGCAUUAUGAAUGAUAUCAGAUGCCUCAUUAGGGUUAGAUGGCAUUAAUAUUCCAUUAUUACUCCUGGCUUCAUGGACCCUUAUGUUCUCUUCUUCCCAGGCAGAAGGACCAUCUCAUUGGCAAUAUGGUGUAGAUAUAUUUUAGAAGAAUUUGUUUUUAUUUCGGGGAGGGGGGGGGGGGGGGGCUCUGCUCUAAUGUAAAUCAUGUCCUCAAAAGUUUGGUGAAAAUGAAAAGCGUGGAAUACUAUUCUGAAAUGAAACUGGACUCUUUUCAUAUAUCAGCCAUGAAUGCAAUCAAUUAUAAAAUCCAUGCCUUUGUAGACACAAGAAUAAAGGGCAUUUAAAUAGAGCUUAAUGUGAUACUAUAAUAACUAUAAUAACUAGAGCAUGCCAGCUAGGUGUCUGGAAGAGAAAUCAUUAAAUGGAAAUAUUAAUUUGAAUUAUUUAAUUUGGAUCUCAGUCUUAACUCCUCUUCCAACUUCGGAAUGAUCUAAAAGGUUUUGUUUUUCAAAUCUUGUUUUCAGACAUAAAAAAUCAUCCUCAUUCCCUCUAAACAUGUCAUUUCGGAGGCCGUUUGGGAGUUAAAACGUUCUAGGGGACAUGUUAAUGACACCGUAUAUGGCAUCCGUUGGAAAACUCAUAAAUUUGAAAAAUGAGUCUGGCAACGAUGGCCAAUCAGAGGCCAGUCAAGGCCGUUGUUGCGGGGAAACACGGAGGCCAGUCACUGCAGGCCUUGCAGAAGGUAAAUACAUCCCCACCCAGCUCAUUGGCAGCCUGCGGUUAAACCAGGGCCAAUACUGGGUGAUUCAAAUGACAUGAUACUGAUUGGAACCUUUUAAAGUGCAGUAGUUAAAUGAAAAGCCUGUUGGAGUGGGAGACACAUCAUCUCAUCCAAUCCCACUCAUUGCAACAACACAUACAAGAGCUAUGAGGUUUUCCUCCCAACUCUAAACUGUUUUUGUCAUACGCCAAUGUUAAUCUCCGUGCGUCGUGCGUAGUACGUAGUAUAAUAAAUACAACCUCGCAGUCCCAAAGUGUUCCCUUCUGAACGUUUAUUGGCCUAUUUCAAACUCCAUUGUAAAAUAUACUUGAUAAAGAAUCAGUACGUUCCGAAACCAAUUUUUCACUGCAAUGACUAGCCGUUACAGCACAUCCUUCAGGAAAUGAUCAAACGUGAACUCCGUGUUUAGGGAGUCAUUGAGGUGCGUACUGACUUCCCUGAACACCCAGUAGGUGUGUUCACAGAGCAUCUCAGAGUUGAGGUGGUUAUCUAGGAUCAGGCCCCCCUCCUCCCUCUUCUUGUUCAUUAUGAUGUUAACACUGAUCCUGGAUGUGGUCUCUCUUUCUGAAUACUGGCCCAGUAGCAGUGUCAGGAAAAUCCUGUAUGUCAUUGGUUACCCACCAGGAUACAGGUCAGCAUAUCUGACCCUAACCCACCAGGAUGCAUGUCAACAUAUCUGACCCCAACCCACCAGGAUACAGGGCAACAUAUCUGACCCUAACCCACCAGGAUACAGGUCAUCAUAUCUGACCCUAACCCACCAGGAUACAGGUCAUCAUAUCUGACCCUAAUCCACCAGGAUACAGGUCAACAUAUCUGACCCUAAACCACCAGGAUACAGGCCAACAUAUCUGACCCCAACCCUAACCCACCAGGAUACAGGUCAACAUAUCUGACCCCAACCCUAACCCACCAGGAUACAGGUCAACAUAUCUGACCCCAAUCCCAACCCACCAGGAUACAGGUCAACAUAUCUGACCCCAACCCACCAGGAUACAGGUCAACAUAUCUGACCCCAACCCUAACCCACCAGGAUACAGGUCAACAUAUCUGACUCCAACCAUAACCCACCAGGAUACAGGUCAACAUAUCUGACCCCAACCCUAACCCACCAGGAUACAGGUCAACGUAUCUGACCCUAGACAGACAGACAGACAGACAGACAAAACCUGUGAUCUAAACGUCUCUAUCUUGAAAAUUUGAAAAUAGCUUUCAAUUGUAAAAUGUCAUCGGGAGACAUUUUACUUCCUGAAACUUCCUGAAACGGUGUCGGUACACUUUAAUUUAGUUUAGCCUCUCAUCGUCUCACAGGCCCCAUUGAGGUGAAAAGGAAAUGGGAUUACAUUUUCUAAAGGAAUCCAGUUUUGUAAGCAUCCACUAACCUACACCAAAUACAUGUACGAGCUUCGGCAACAGUCUUUGGGUCAAUUAACUUCCUAAAAAAAAAAUAGGGCCAUUACAUAUAAGAUGCCUGUCUUAACACGCCCCUCAAAGUGGACAUUUCACAGUGAAUUAAAAAUCAGUUUGUAUCAUAAUGAAUUAUAUAUAAAAGCUACAUGAAGCUAGUGAUGAGGACACGUAGUGAUGUUAGUAAAGUAUCUGCAUAUAAUGUGUUAGUGUUAUUUAUGGUUUGAUCUUUUAUGGUUUCUUUUAUUUAACCCCCUUGGUUUGUGUAAUAUACUGUAUUAUUUUCUGAGAUGACACAUUAUUAAGAAAUAUCUGCCUUUUACAGACUAAACUUGGCUUUUUAAGACAUAUAUGUCAGAAAUUUAACUUAUUUACAUUACCAACAUACAUUGUGUGUAUAUAUAUAUAUAUUGACAAAUAAAAUUGACAAAGUAG